AGAGUUUGAUCCUGGCUCAGGAUGAACGCUAGCGGCAGGCUUAACACAUGCAAGUCGAGGGGCAGCGAGGGGAGCAAUACCUGUCGGCGACCGGCGCAAGGGGGGUGCGUAACGCGUGAGCAACAUGCCCGUAUCAGGGGGAUAAUCCAGGGAAACUUGGUCUAAUACCCCAUAGUAAUAUUUUCAGGCAUCUGGGGAUAUUUAAAGCUUUGGUGGAUACGGAUUGGCUCGCGUGACAUUAGCUGGAUGGUAGGGUAACGGCCUACCAUGGCUACGAUGUCUAGGGGUUCUGAGAGGAAGAUCCCCCACACUGGUACUGAAACACGGACCAGACUCCUACGGGAGGCAGCAGUGAGGAAUAUUGGUCAAUGGACGCGAGCCUGAACCAGCCAAGUCGCGUGAAGGAAGAAGGUUCUAUGGAUUGUAAACUUCUUUUGCAUGGGAAUAAAGUGAGCUACGUGUAGGCCGAUGAGAGUAAGGUGUGAAUAAGGACCGGCUAACUACGUGCCAGCAGCCGCGGUAAUACAUAGGGGGCAAGCGUUAUCCGGAAUCAUUGGGUGUAAAGGGUGCGUAGGCGGCCUAUUAAGUCUAUGGCGAAAGUUUUCAGCUUAACUGGAAAAAUGCCGUUGAUACUGCGUUUCUUGAGUAUAGUUGAAGUGGGUGGAAUUCCACGUGUAGCGGUGAAAUGCGUAGAUAUAAGGAGGAACACCAGUGGCGAAGGCGGUUGCCUGGCCUGUAACUGACGCUGAGGCACGAAAGCGUGGGGAGCAAAUAGGAUUAGAUACCCUAGUAGUCCACGCUGUAAACGAUGAAUACUAAGUGUUGGAGAAAUUCAGUGCUGCAGUUAACGCAAUAAGUAUUCCGCCUGGGGAGUAUGCACGCAAGUGUGAAACUCAAAGGAAUUGACGGGACCCCGCACAAGCGGUGGAUUAUGUUGUUUAAUUCGACGCAACGCGAAGAACCUUACCAGGCCUUGACAUACUCGGCAAAGCUCUAGAGAUAGAGUGGAGGUUAUCCGGGAUACAGGUGGUGCAUGGUUGUCGUCAGCUCGUGUCGUGAGAUGUUGGGUUAAGUCCCGCAACGAGCGCAACCCUUGUUGUUAGUUACCAGCAUUCAGUUGGGCACUCUGAGGAGACUGCCGGGGUUAACUCGGAGGAAGGUGGGGACGACGUCAAGUCCUCAUGGCCUUUAUGUUCAGGGCUACACACGUACUACAAUGGCUAGUACAAAGAGAAGCAAGCCCGUGAGUGGAAGCGAAUCCCAAAAAAGCAGUCCCAGUUCGGAUCGUGGGCUGCAACCCGCCCACGUGAAGUCGGAGUUGCUAGUAAUCGCGGAUCAGCAUGCCGCGGUGAAUACGUUCCCGGGCCUUGUACACACCGCCCGUCACACCAUGGGAGUUGGGAGCACCCAAAGCCAGCGAGGUAACCGCAAGGAGCCAGCUGUCCAAGGUGAGACCAAUGACUGGGGUGAAGUCGUAACAAGGUAACC
This 1488-nucleotide ribosomal RNA is filed under the name uncultured bacterium. RNAcentral's name for it is "partial 16S ribosomal RNA". It matches the Rfam family "Bacterial small subunit ribosomal RNA". The record is from RNAcentral.